AGCUGUAUAGGCACUACUAUUCAUGAACAAUUACAGAAAAACUUGUUAAUUGUAUUUGAAAGUUUAUUGUGCAUGCUAGUUUAUGUGUUAUCAUUUUGUUAAUGUUUGUUUAGACAGUAUUAAAUUUUCUGUUGACGAAAUUAUUGGCUAUUCUAUAUUUCCAAGUUACAUUUUUACAAAUUAUACAUCUUACAGUUCUUAUAGGACUCGUUAAAGGUUCCUGAGCCUACGGUAAUUAAAGUACCGAGAUUAAAGUAUUAAACAAUAAGCUGCUGCAAAUAGAGCAAUUACCUCUUCUCCAACUGUAGCAGUGGGGAGUGGAAACCUAUUUUUCUCCAGACUGAACUGAUCUUCCGUGGUUUUCCUAUACACAGGAUUAUCGAAAUUCAUACUCGUGACGUUACG
Long non-coding RNA from Hylaeus volcanicus, 405 nucleotides. RefSeq lists it as uncharacterized. Lineage: Eukaryota; Metazoa; Arthropoda; Insecta; Hymenoptera; Colletidae. The transcript is spliced from 3 exons. The record is from RefSeq and is a predicted model, not a curated record.